CCUACGGGAGGCAGCAGUGGGGAAUAUUGCACAAUGGGGGAAACCCUGAUGCAGCGACGCCGCGUGAGUGAAGAAGUAUUUCGGUAUGUAAAGCUCUAUCAGCAGGGAAGAGAAUGACGGUACCUGAGUAAGAAGCCCCGGCGAACUACGUGCCAGCAGCCGCGGUAAUACGUAGGGGGCAAGCGUUAUCCGGAAUUACUGGGUGUAAAGGGAGCGUAGACGGCGAAGAAAGUCAGAAGUGAAAGCCCGCGGCUCAACCGCGGAACUGCUUUGGAAACUUGUUUGCUGGAGUACCGGAGAGGUAAGCGGAAUUCCUAGUGUAGCGGUGAAAUGCGUAGAUAUUAGGAGGAACACCAGUGGCGAAGGCGGCUUACUGGACGGUAACUGACGUUGAGGCUCGAAAGCGUGGGGAGCAAACAGGAUUAGAUACCCUUGUAGUC
This 440-nucleotide ribosomal RNA is filed under the name uncultured bacterium. Its description in RNAcentral is "partial 16S ribosomal RNA". It matches the Rfam family "Bacterial small subunit ribosomal RNA", at positions 338 to 795 of the family's 1533-position model. The record is from RNAcentral.